AAAUGUUUCUCGAGCUCCUCGAUUGUAUCUAUUCUAUUACCUUUUUUGUGGUCAAGCACUUUGUGAACACGAAAUAGGAUGGGCGACCUAGGAUGGGAGUGAGAGAGAAGAAGAAGGAUGGUCCCAUCGACCCUGUGUGUGGGGGGGGGGGGGCUCCGACAUGAAACAAACUUCGUCAUUUUUCGAUUGCUUUUGUCCGAAUUGAAUUC
This is a non-coding RNA of Caenorhabditis elegans, 209 nucleotides long. Lineage: Eukaryota; Metazoa; Nematoda; Chromadorea; Rhabditida; Rhabditidae. The record is from Ensembl.